RNA transcript from Mizuhopecten yessoensis (Yesso scallop), 1923 nucleotides. RefSeq lists it as uncharacterized. The record is from RefSeq and is a predicted model, not a curated record. The transcript has 3 exons. Lineage: Eukaryota; Metazoa; Mollusca; Bivalvia; Pectinida; Pectinidae.
CACACCAGUCGGGACAGACACUACAGUGCGCUUUACGUUAAGUCGUAUAAUUUGAUCAAAGGAUUAACGGAUUAUAUGCAAACACACGUAACGGUCACUUGAUGAGGUAUAUACCUGGCUGACUUAACGCUACAGGUACUUAUCUAUGAAUGUGUUGCCGCAUUCUGUAUAGUGAAUGGACUUUACUGACCACGUUUCUGUGUAGAGAAAAUACUACAGUUAGACAUUGUUUGGUAAAGUAUAACUACAGUUGGCAGGAAAACUGUAAUCAUAGGAUAAUUAUAGACUGAUGUAGUGAAACAUGAUUCCCAAUACUGAUAUUGUGAAAGGCCUCCCGUCGCCCGAUGGAAAGAGUCGUAAUCCAAAACUUACUAUCACAAUCGACAAAGGUCCUCAGCAGAUCGUAAAACCGAAGAGUAUCUCUCCCCGGAAUAAGACCGCCAGCGUGGGAAUUUUCCCUCCCAUCGCCGAAGAACAUCUUCUCAAAAAAUCCCAACAGGCCUAUCCAAUAUCACCGAAAACAGUAAACCAUGAAGCUGGCACUGUAACCUUCAAACAGGACCAUCAAACAAUCUGUCCGAUAACGACCGUACGAAGGUCGUCAAUAACCAAUGGAGGGGGUCUAGUAAAAAAAGCAUCAUUUAAAGGGAUGGGGAAGUUCUCGACUGUUCUUAAAGCUAAGAUGGCUUUUAAAAGUCAUAACAAGAGGCCGCGGGAUAAUCCUGUGGAUGAUGAAGAGGAGGAUUUGAUCAUAGAACUACCAAAGGAACCACGCUUCUCCACAAUGAUGUCACCAGAGGCGCAGUACGCCAUGAUGAAAGGAUAUGAGGACACUAUAUAUAACUGCUUAUGUAAAAAGUACCCAGAGCAGAGGCCUUCCCUACGAAGAAACAGAACACCUAUUUCUAAUGUCGAUCUACGGAACAAAGAAGAUACACGGAAGGUGAUAAAUAAGGAAGACCAGGACUCAAAUCAAGAAUUACCAUUAAGACAUGACUCUGAACGCGAGGAGAGUGAUACUGCUUCUCAAGGCUCCUCUAACGAUUCUCCUUUAACAGGUCCGUCGUUUAAUUUCUCGCCUCCUCGUUCAGCAAAUAUGUCGAGACGGGCGUCUAUGCCCGUACCAUCAAUUAGUCUUAAUAAGAUUGGUCGGUCUAGAAGUCUUGCUCCUUCAGGAACCGUGUCUGUCGACUCGACCUUGUCUCGUGCGAACAGUUUACCUAGUGUUAUCCCACGGGAAAAACAGCUAGUUUUGUCGUACCGCCUCCAAAGUGCUAUGGACAUUUUAGACACAGUUCGGGAUGGUCUGGGGUACAAUUACACGUCCCCGAGGAUCAGGGCUAAUACAUCUAAGGGUAUCAAGCCGGUUUUGGACUAUAACAAGUGGGCUGGCGUCUGGGGACAGGAAUUCAACGUGCAUGACCCACUUAGCUAGACUGUUUCACAAAAAAAGUAAGCUUUGAUACUUGUAGGCUUGACUCUUUUGCCCAAACAAACAAAAUGAUGUGUAUAUACCAGAUGAAUAGAACACUAUACCGUUUCAACAUUUUCUGGGGGUAGGCAGAGACGAACAAAUUCAUCUUGAUGGAAUCUGCGCAGCAGUUACUGGUGUAUUGAGGGAAUCCCCAGCUGACAGUUACCAUCAUAAUGGAUAGACGAAUUCUGACUAACUAAUAGUGUAUUUGAGAGCCGGUUACAACUAUCACUUUCUCACAUAUUAAGGAGAAAAAUCCUAACAAAUACAACUUGUUGAUAGGAGUUAAAAGAUUGACUGUAAUAUACCAGUACCAAACGGGUUCAAAAGGACAUUGGCAAUCGGAAACUACACAUUGCUCUGUGAAAUUAUUGACUUGUAUGACGCUAUUGCGUCGAUUGAUUAAUCUUUUGUGUUUUACUGUCUCUUUGGAAAUAAACAUAAACGUU